AAGAAACCAACAGGGAUUGCCUCAGUAACGGCGAGUGAAGCGGCAACAGCUCAAAUUUGAAAGCUGGCCCCCCCGGGGGUCCGCGUUGUAAUUUGUAGAGGAUGAUUCGGCGAGGGCUCCCGCCUAAGUCCCCUGGAACGGGGCGUCAUAGAGGGUGAGAAUCCCGUAUGCGGUGGGCUGCCUUAGCCAUGUGAAUCUCCUUCGACGAGUCGAGUUGUUUGGGAAUGCAGCUCUAAAUGGGAGGUAAAUUUCUUCUAAAGCUAAAUACCGGCCAGAGACCGAUAGCGCACAAGUAGAGUGAUCGAAAGAUGAAAAGCACUUUGGAAAGAGAGUUAAAAAGUACGUGAAAUUGUUGAAAGGGAAGCGCUUGCAGCCAGACUUGUCCGCAGUUGCUCAGCCGGUCUCCUGACCGGCGCACUCUUCUGCGGCCAGGCCAGCAUCAGUUCGGGCGGUCGGAUAAAGGCCCCGGGAACGUAGCUCCUCUCGGGGAGUGUUAUAGCCCGGGGUGGAAUGCGGCCAGCCUGGACUGAGGAUCUCGCUUCGGCUAGGAUGCUGGCGUAAUGGCUGUAAGCGGCCCGUCUUGAAACACGGACCAAGGAGUCUAACAUCUAUGCGAGUGUUUGGGUGUCAAACCCAUGCGCGUAAUGAAAGUGAACGGAGGUGGGAACCCUCGCGGGUGCACCAUCGACCGAUCCUGAUGUCUUCGGAUGGAUUUGAGUAAGAGCAUAGCUGUUGGGACCCGAAAGAUGGUGAACUAUGCCUGAAUAGGGUGAAGCCAGAGGAAACUCUGGUGGAGGCUCGCAGCGGUUCUGACGUGCAAAUCGAUCGUCAAAUUUGGGUAUAGGGGCGAAAGACUAAUCGAACCAUCGACUACUAGGUGGUUAAGAGGUGGCUGAAAGUGCCCACCUAGUCCCCCCGUCCGAGGACGGGGGGGCGACAUCGCCAAAUUGCGGGGACUCCCUUAGAGCCUCUACUACCGCGGCCGGCCGAAAGGCGCGGUGCAGCACCGGGUUAAUUGCCUAGGGUACGGUAAAAAGGUAGAGGAUUGGGAAAUCCGCAGCCAAGCGCCUAAGUCCCGCGGGAUACGGCGAAGGUUCAGAGACUAGAUGGCGGUGGGUCCGGCCCGAGGGCCGGGCCUAAGGUAUAGUCCACCCCCCGCGGAGACGCGGGCGGAUC
RNAcentral lists this ribosomal RNA (1176 nucleotides) under Neoscytalidium dimidiatum. RNAcentral describes it as "eukaryotic LSU rRNA". It matches the Rfam family "Eukaryotic large subunit ribosomal RNA", at positions 59 to 1450 of the family's 3401-position model. Lineage: Eukaryota; Fungi; Ascomycota; Dothideomycetes; Botryosphaeriales; Botryosphaeriaceae. The record is from RNAcentral.